This is a long non-coding RNA of Rhincodon typus (whale shark), 401 nucleotides long. RefSeq lists it as uncharacterized. NCBI's taxonomy places the organism in Eukaryota, Metazoa, Chordata, Chondrichthyes, Orectolobiformes, Rhincodontidae. The transcript is spliced from 3 exons. The record is from RefSeq and is a predicted model, not a curated record.
CUUAUCAAUCAGAGAUGGACUGGCUGCAUAAAAAGGCUGAGUAAUGUUACGGUAAAGUGAAUUUUAAUAAUACAGGUAUGGAAUCAUUCCCAGGGUUCAGAACAUCAAUGGUACUAAUGCAUGUAGCAGGCACCGGAGGCGAAUACUGGUACAGCGGCAGGUGCCAGGAGCAAGUCCCCAGAUUAGCAUGUAGGCUAUGAGCCCCAGAACACCACGAGCAGCGAGCCCUGGUACAGCAUGUGGGCUGUAAUGAUGAUAAUGCUGUUCAAUUUUUAACUUAUUUUUUAACUCUGUGGGUACAGAAGAUCCUAUGGCAGUAUUUGAGGAGAAGAGGAGUUAGCCCUGGUGUCCCCUUCAAUAUUUAUUCCUCAAUCAAUAUCAUAAAACAGAUUAUCUAGUUA